ACACAUGCAAGUCGAGGGGCAGCAUGAACUUAGCUUGCUAAGUUUGAUGGCGACCGGCGCACGGGUGAGUAACACGUAUCCAACCUGCCGAUGACUCGGGGAUAGCCUUUCGAAAGAAAGAUUAAUACCCGAUGGCAUAGUUCUUCCGCAUGGUAGAACUAUUAAAGAAUUUCGGUCAUCGAUGGGGAUGCGUUCCAUUAGGUUGUUGGCGGGGUAACGGCCCACCAAGCCUUCGAUGGAUAGGGGUUCUGAGAGGAAGGUCCCCCACAUUGGAACUGAGACACGGUCCAAACUCCUACGGGAGGCAGCAGUGAGGAAUAUUGGUCAAUGGACGAGAGUCUGAACCAGCCAAGUAGCGUGAAGGAUGACUGCCCUAUGGGUUGUAAACUUCUUUUAUACGGGAAUAAAGUGAGGCACGUGUGCCUUUUUGUAUGUACCGUAUGAAUAAGGAUCGGCUAACUCCGUGCCAGCAGCCGCGGUAAUACGGAGGAUCCGAGCGUUAUCCGGAUUUAUUGGGUUUAAAGGGAGCGUAGGCGGACGCUUAAGUCAGUUGUGAAAGUUUGCGGCUCAACCGUAAAAUUGCAGUUGAUACUGGGUGUCUUGAGUACAGUAGAGGCAGGCGGAAUUCGUGGUGUAGCGGUGAAAUGCUUAGAUAUCACGAAGAACUCCGAUUGCGAAGGCAGCCUGCUGGACUGUAACUGACGCUGAUGCUCGAAAGUGUGGGUAUCAAACAGGAUUAGAUACCCUGGUAGUCCACACAGUAAACGAUGAAUACUCGCUGUUUGCGAUAUACAGUAAGCGGCCAAGCGAAAGCGUUAAGUAUUCCACCUGGGGAGUACGCCGGCAACGGUGAAACUCAAAGGAAUUGACGGGGG
This 875-nucleotide ribosomal RNA is filed under the name uncultured bacterium. Its description in RNAcentral is "bacterial SSU rRNA". It matches the Rfam family "Bacterial small subunit ribosomal RNA", at positions 51 to 919 of the family's 1533-position model. The record is from RNAcentral.